UACGAGGGGGGCAAGCGUUGUUCGGAAUUAUUGGGCGUAAAGGGUGCGUAGGCGGAUGUGUCAGUCAGGGGUGAAAUCCCGGGGCUCAACCUCGGAACUGCCUUUGAUACAGCACGUCUCGAGUCCGGAAGAGGUGGGUGGAAUUCCUAGUGUAGAGGUGAAAUUCGUAGAUAUUAGGAAGAACACCAGUGGCGAAGGCGGCUCACUGGCCCGGUACUGACGCUGAGGCGCGAAAGCGUGGGGAGCAAACAGG
This 253-nucleotide ribosomal RNA is filed under the name uncultured bacterium. RNAcentral's name for it is "partial 16S ribosomal RNA". It matches the Rfam family "Bacterial small subunit ribosomal RNA", at positions 524 to 776 of the family's 1533-position model. The record is from RNAcentral.